UGGGGUCGGGAUACCCAGGUUCUUCUCUCCUUUGUCGCCCAUCCACCUCCUACCUGUGCUGUUUGUCCUUCUCAGGGUUCCUUGUCCCAGGUUCGCCCAGGAGGCAGCAGUGAGUGGCUGUCCAGUCCCCAAAGGUCUUUCUGCGCCCCCCUCCAACCUGAGCUUAGUGAGGGCAAGAAGUCCCAGCCACCUCACCUCCUCCUGCUCCUCCUCUUCUGUCUUUUCAGCCUGGCCCCGAGGCCCAGUGAUUGAAAACACAGGGGGUAAAGAGAGUGGACGGUGAAGGAAAGCACUCAGUCUUGUGAGGCAGAGAGGAGAGGGGUGUCGGCACACAGACGCUCUUGGUGCCUUCUCAUUCAGGCAGCGAGGAAAACAGAAGCAACCGGCAGAUGAGCACUGUUAAACACAAACCCAGUGCUACCAGUUGAGUCACAUAGAACUGGAUGGGAGACAUGGGCAUUAGGUGGGCCAAGCUGGCAUGCUUGAAAAAUUCUCACUGGGGGGACUUCCUGGUGGUCCAGUGGUUAAGAAUCCACCUUGCAGAGCAGAGGACGCAGGUUUGAUCCUGGUCGGGGAACUAAGUUCCCACAUGAGGAGAAGCAACUAAGCCUGCACAAUGAGAGAGUCCAUGCUCUGCAAAUGGAGAUCCCAAGUGCCACAGCCGAGACCCGACACAACCAAAUAAAUAAAAAAAAAUUUCUGAUUUUUGUGGUUUGCUGCUGUCCGUUGUGAUGAGAGAGAUUGUUGGAGCAGGUCACGCACAGAGAAGAAAAGAGCAAAUGAAUGAACAAGGCUGCGAGGAAAAAAGUGGGACCCAGACGGAAGGAGGAAGACGUAGGAGAAGGGAGGAUGUGAGCACAGCUGGAGAAGGAGACUCGGUGUUGAUCCGUGAGAGCGGAAGCCAUGACGUCAUCAGAAAGAAUGUCAAAGAAACUGGGACAAGAAGAAUUAACAUCUAAUAUUUAACAUUUAUUGACUUGGACUAAGCCCCGUGUCAGGUAAUUGAAAGAUAUACUUUCUUAUUUUGCUUUUGCAACAGUCCCGGGAGGUGGGAUCAUCACCUCCAUCUUGCAUGGAGGGGAAUCACAUAUGGAGAGGUCGAUAAAUGACCCCAAGUCAGGGAUUACGGACGGGUUUGCUCCUGACUCCAGCCUUCUUGUGAAUGAACGCUCUUGUAUUUGACAAACACUUUAGGAUUU
This 1199-nucleotide long non-coding RNA is filed under the name Bos grunniens (domestic yak). RNAcentral's name for it is "lncRNA (ENSBGRG00000003685.1)". The record is from RNAcentral. Lineage: Eukaryota; Metazoa; Chordata; Mammalia; Artiodactyla; Bovidae.